AAUCUUGGACAAUGGGGGCAACCCUGAUCCAGCCAUGCCGCGUGAGUGACCUAAGGCCUUAGGGUUGUAAAGCUCUUUCAACGGUGAAGAUAAUGACGGUAGCCGUAGAAGAAGCCCCGGCUAACUCCGUGCCAGCAGCCGCGGUAAUACGGAGGGGGCUAGCGUUGUUCGGAAUUACUGGGCGUAAAGCGCGCGUAGGCGGAUUGGUCAGUCAGGGGUGAAAUCCCGGAGCUCAACUCCGGAACUGCCUUUGAUACUGGUUAUCUUGAGUUCUGGAGAGGUGAGUGGAAUUCCGAGUGUAGAGGUGAAAUUCGUAGAUAUUCGGAGGAACACCAGUGGCGAAGGCGGCUCACUGGCCAGAUACUGACGCUGAGGCGCGAAAGCGUGGGUAGCAAACAGGAUUAGAUACCCUGGUAGUCCACGCCGUA
This 428-nucleotide ribosomal RNA is filed under the name uncultured marine bacterium. Its description in RNAcentral is "bacterial SSU rRNA". It matches the Rfam family "Bacterial small subunit ribosomal RNA", at positions 360 to 804 of the family's 1533-position model. The record is from RNAcentral.